CCGUCACAACGGCUUCCUGGCGUGACGGCUAUGUAUUAAUGGAGCA
Molecule: non-coding RNA, 46 nt
Filed under: unclassified sequences
Description: SAM-SAH-Weickhmann-2018 RNA
Rfam family: SAM/SAH riboswitch aptamer
Source: RNAcentral